AUUUAGACGAGGUCUCCACCAUCAUCACAGCCCUCGACACCGUGAACGAAAUCAUUCCCGAAAAAAAUCUCGUCAUGUGCGUCGUUCGGGGGCUCCCAUCAGCUUACUCCUCGAUUAAACAGGCGGUUCGCAUCAAUCCAACGCCCGUUGACCCGGCUACUCUCUCCUCGUGGCUAAAAAGUGAAGAAAUCAACGUGGAUCUGGAGAGCAA
RNAcentral lists this unclassified non-coding RNA (211 nucleotides) under Hevea brasiliensis (rubber tree). The record is from RNAcentral. Lineage: Eukaryota; Viridiplantae; Streptophyta; Magnoliopsida; Malpighiales; Euphorbiaceae.